Molecule: ribosomal RNA, 1369 nt
Filed under: Myroides odoratimimus
Lineage: Bacteria; Pseudomonadati; Bacteroidota; Flavobacteriia; Flavobacteriales; Flavobacteriaceae
Description: bacterial SSU rRNA
Rfam family: Bacterial small subunit ribosomal RNA
Source: RNAcentral
AGAAGAAGCUUGCUUUUUUGAGACCGGCGCACGGGUGAGUAACGCGUAUGCAACCUACCUUAUACAGGGGAAUAGCCCGAAGAAAUUCGGAUUAAUGCUCCAUGGUUUAUCGAUAUGGCAUCGUAUUGAUAAUAAAGAUUUAUCGGUAUAAGAUGGGCAUGCGUAUCAUUAGCUAGUUGGUGUGGUAACGGCAUACCAAGGCAACGAUGAUUAGGGGUCCUGAGAGGGAGAUCCCCCACACUGGUACUGAGACACGGACCAGACUCCUACGGGAGGCAGCAGUGAGGAAUAUUGGUCAAUGGAGGCAACUCUGAACCAGCCAUGCCGCGUGCAGGAUGACGGUCCUAUGGAUUGUAAACUGCUUUUGUACAGGAAGAAACCUCCCUACGAGUAGGGACUUGACGGUACUGUAAGAAUAAGGAUCGGCUAACUCCGUGCCAGCAGCCGCGGUAAUACGGAGGAUCCGAGCGUUAUCCGGAAUUAUUGGGUUUAAAGGGUUCGUAGGCGGCUUUGUAAGUCAGUGGUGAAAUUUCCUAGCUUAACUAGGACACUGCCAUUGAUACUGCAGAGCUUGAAUAAUAUGGAAGUAACUAGAAUAUGUAGUGUAGCGGUGAAAUGCUUAGAUAUUACAUGGAAUACCAAUUGCGAAGGCAGGUUACUACGUAUUUAUUGACGCUGAUGAACGAAAGCGUGGGGAGCGAACAGGAUUAGAUACCCUGGUAGUCCACGCCGUAAACGAUGGAUACUAGCUGUUCGGUUUUCGGACUGAGUGGCUAAGCGAAAGUGAUAAGUAUCCCACCUGGGGAGUACGUUCGCAAGAAUGAAACUCAAAGGAAUUGACGGGGGCCCGCACAAGCGGUGGAGCAUGUGGUUUAAUUCGAUGAUACGCGAGGAACCUUACCAGGGCUUAAAUGUAGAUUGACAGAUUUGGAAACAGAUUUUUCUUCGGACAAUUUACAAGGUGCUGCAUGGUUGUCGUCAGCUCGUGCCGUGAGGUGUCAGGUUAAGUCCUAUAACGAGCGCAACCCCUAUUGUUAGUUACUCAUCGCGUAGUGGCGGGGACUCUAGCAAGACUGCCGGUGCAAACCGUGAGGAAGGUGGGGAUGACGUCAAAUCAUCACGGCCCUUACGUCCUGGGCUACACACGUGCUACAAUGGCAAGUACAGAAAGCAGCUACCUGGCAACAGGAUGCGAAUCUCCAAAGCUUGUCUCAGUUCGGAUUGGAGUCUGCAACUCGACUCUAUGAAGCUGGAAUCGCUAGUAAUCGGAUAUCAGCCAUGAUCCGGUGAAUACGUUCCCGGGCCUUGUACACACCGCCCGUCAAGCCAUGGAAGCUGGGGGUACCUGAAGUCGGUGACCGCAAGGAGC